This 2103-nucleotide unclassified non-coding RNA is filed under the name Hevea brasiliensis (rubber tree). Lineage: Eukaryota; Viridiplantae; Streptophyta; Magnoliopsida; Malpighiales; Euphorbiaceae. The record is from RNAcentral.
GGGGAAUCUUGAGUUGCUCUUGAUUGAAACAGCUUGAACAAUUAUUGCAUCACAAGUACCAACCAUUAUUAUUAUUUGGCAGGACUUGAAUAAUGCAGAGUGGAAAUGAAACCCAAGAUUAUUAAACACUCAGCCUAUGCAGUAAUUCUUCAAAUUUGCAUUGGAAUAGGCUUUUGUUACAGACAUGGUCCCACUUCAUUUUUCUGGGAAGAAGCAGUGAGAACAAAGAUCAGAAAACUACAUGGAAAUUGACAGAACCCUUGAGGGGCUUCAUAUGAACAUGGACAAAAACUAAAACUAGUGUUGAUUCUCUCUCUUGUUUUUGAAAUGUUCAUUAAUGGUGGUGGUACCAAUCAACAUGUAUUUGAUCUAAUAACUGGUUUGGAAGGGCUUGACUGUCUUCAGAUCACCAACAACCCCAGCAACGGAGCCAGUAGCAGCAGCUAUGGUAAUUAUAAGGCAAGUAGCAUUUAGGAUUUGGAGGCAGAGCCAUCUUGUACUCCACUUUGGUAUCUUCUUUUGUGCUAUGUACAUCUCAACUGGGAAGUAUACAGUUAAUGGCCAAAAUCCUAAAGCUCCGAGAAGACCAACUAUGUCGUUAAAGAAAGGAAGGAGCAUGGAAAUUAAAGUGGUCAAGAUCACAAAAAUAGUCCUAAAUACCAAUCUAAAGAGGUUGAGGUUGUAGGAGCGGGAACCAGGAAUUGGGAUUUUGAUUUCUUUGGUAAUGAAUUCACUGUCUGGGAAUCUUUGUGCUGCUGUUUUUUCAAUGAAGGCAAAGAGGGGUUGGCAGAAGACUUGGUAUGCACCAACAAGGUGGAUUACUAUGGCAACAUUGGCAAUGUCUAGUAACCAAUAUGGGUUGUAAAAGCCAAAGCCUGUGAGGAGAUUUCCAGGGGACAUGUCUCCAAAGGCAGCGUAGCCAAAGCAGCCACAGAGCAUGUAGAAAAGGGUUGUCACUGAAACACUUAUUAAAGAUGCUUUCUUCAUUGUCUUGGCUUCUGAUGGUGGGGAUUUGAUUGUGUCCUGAAUUUCAAUGAGGAUGACGGAGUAUGAGUACGCAAAAGCAAUUUCCCCAAGUGCUUGGAAGCUUCUCCAUAUCUUCUGGGUUUGAGUUACGGUGCCAAUGCUUAUUCCAGUUAGGCUUCCCAUGAAUUUUCCAUUCUCUGCAACUUUGGCAAUGCCAAGUCCAAGACCAAUAGAUGAAUAAGUGAAAGACAUAACAGCGGCAACAAUGGAGAGCCACCAUAGCUGAUCAAAAUCAGGAAUUUGCGAGAAAAUAAUUUCUGUGAUCCCAAAAGCAAUCAUGUAAGGAUUGGCAUUCAUACGGCAUGGAUUUUUGCCUCCACUCUUGUGGAAACAAUUAGACCUCUUAAUAGCCAUCAUGCUUAUGGAUGAUGCUAUUGUGUAACCAAUGGCAACUCCAAAGAGGUUAAGAUACUGAACAAAUCCACAUAUCUUGACCUUAGCUCCACCAAGAUUGGAGAGAACAGCAUCCAUAUAUGUGUAGUUUCUCUUGCCAGUAAGAGGAUCACCAGAACGGUAACAGGAAGAAAGCAGAGUAGAAGUAUAGUAAGUGACCAAGGAGAACAAGAACAUAACAGCAGGACCAGCAAUCCAUCCAAGCUGAGCUAUGGCAUAGGCCAAGGACAGAACCCCAGACCCAAUCACAGCUGUUAUAAUAUGGGAACUUGCAGUCCACACAGUACCAGUUCGCUUAAGGCGACCAUCAUCGUCUAGCAAAUUGUGGCCAGUUUGUGCAUGGAUGUCAAUGGAGACAUUGAAAACUUGGUGGGAAUGGCUCUUUGCUGCUGUGUUCUCAACCAUCUUUCUUCACAGAACAAACCAAGAAACAGAGAAGUGAGUUAUCUUUUGGUGCUUGGAAGAAAAGAGAGAAAGAAAAAUGGAAAAUGUGGCGUUUAGCUACUGAGAGUAAACUGAAUCGAGGGAUAUAUGAUGCAAUGGAAGCCAAGAAGAGCAGGCAUUUAUAGAUCACUUGAGGUGGCAAGACUUUCGCAAGACUAAAGAGGGCCAAUGAUAGUUGAAGGGCACGUGCCCUCAAGACCCUCACGACUUAACGCGGAUUCUGCGUGUGUGACCUCUUUU